RNAcentral lists this ribosomal RNA (503 nucleotides) under uncultured bacterium. RNAcentral's name for it is "partial 16S ribosomal RNA". It matches the Rfam family "Bacterial small subunit ribosomal RNA", at positions 28 to 523 of the family's 1533-position model. The record is from RNAcentral.
GAUGAACGCUGGCGGCGUGCCUAAUACAUGCAAGUCGAACGAAGAUCUAGCUUGCUAGAUCUUAGUGGCGAACGGGUGAGUAAUACAUAAAUAAUCUGCCCAUAUGACUGGGAUAACUAUUGGAAACGAUAGCUAAUACCGGAUAGGUUGAUCGGAGGCAUCUCUGAUGAAUUAAAGUAGGAUUUCUACACAAAUGGAUGAGUUUAUGGCGCAUUAGUUAGUUGGUGGGGUAACGACCUACCAAGACGAUGAUGCGUAGCCGACCUGAGAGGGUGACCGGCCACACUGGGACUGAGACACGGCCCAGACUCCUACGGGAGGCAGCAGUAGGGAAUUUUCGGCAAUGGGCGCAAGCCUGACCGAGCAACGCCGCGUGAGUGAUUAAGGCCUUCGGGUUGUAAAGCUCUGUUGUAAGGGAAGAACAUUCAGGAUAGGAAAUGAUCUUGAACUGACGGUACCUUACCAGAAAGCCACGGCUAACUACGUGCCAGCAGCCGCCGUAA